This 292-nucleotide ribosomal RNA is filed under the name uncultured bacterium. Its description in RNAcentral is "partial 16S ribosomal RNA". It matches the Rfam family "Bacterial small subunit ribosomal RNA", at positions 505 to 796 of the family's 1533-position model. The record is from RNAcentral.
GUGUCAGCAGCCGCGGUAAUACGUAGGGUGCAAGCGUUAAUCGGAAUUACUGGGCGUAAAGCGUGCGCAGGCGGUUAUGUAAGUCAGAUGUGAAAUCCCCGGGCUCAACCUGGGAAUGGCAUUUGAGACUGCAUGGCUAGAGUGUGUCAGAGGGGGGUAGAAUUCCACGUGUAGCAGUGAAAUGCGUAGAGAUGUGGAGGAAUACCGAUGGCGAAGGCAGCCCCCUGGGAUAACACUGACGCUCAUGCACGAAAGCGUGGGGAGCAAACAGGAUUAGAUACCCCCGUAGUCC